RNAcentral lists this ribosomal RNA (465 nucleotides) under uncultured bacterium. RNAcentral's name for it is "partial 16S ribosomal RNA". It matches the Rfam family "Bacterial small subunit ribosomal RNA", at positions 338 to 795 of the family's 1533-position model. The record is from RNAcentral.
CCUACGGGUGGCAGCAGUGGGGAAUAUUGCGCAAUGGGCGAAAGCCUGACGCAGCGACGCCGCGUGAGGGAUGAAGGUCUUCGGAUCGUAAACCUCUGUCAGCAGGGAAGAACGGUCACUGUGCUAAUCAGCAGUGAAUUGACGGUACCUGCAAAGGAAGCACCGGCUAACUCCGUGCCAGCAGCCGCGGUAAUACGGAGGGUGCGAGCGUUAAUCGGAAUUACUGGGCGUAAAGCGCUCGUAGGCGGUAUGUCAAGUCAAGGGUGAAAUCCCCGGGCUCAACGUGGGAACUGCCUUUGAAACUGGCAAACUGGAGUGUGUGAGAGGAUAGUGGAAUUCCAGGUGUAGGGGUGAAAUGCGUAGAUAUCUGGAGGAACAUCAGUGGCGAAGGCGACUAUCUGGCACAUAACUGACGCUGAGGAGCGAAAGCGUGGGUAGCAAACAGGAUUAGAUACCCUUGUAGUC